This 492-nucleotide ribosomal RNA is filed under the name uncultured bacterium. RNAcentral's name for it is "partial 16S ribosomal RNA". It matches the Rfam family "Bacterial small subunit ribosomal RNA", at positions 29 to 507 of the family's 1533-position model. The record is from RNAcentral.
AGUGAACGCUGGCGGUAGGCCUAACACAUGCAAGUCGAACGGCAGCACAGUAAGAGCUUGCUCUUACGGGUGGCGAGUGGCGGACGGGUGAGGAAUACAUCGGAAUCUACUUUUUCGUGGGGGAUAACGUAGGGAAACUUACGCUAAUACCGCAUACGACCUACGGGUGAAAGCAGGGGAUCUUCGGACCUUGCGCGAUUGAAUGAGCCGAUGUCGGAUUAGCUAGUUGGCGGGGUAAAGGCCCACCAAGGCGACGAUCCGUAGCUGGUAUGAGAGGAUGAUCAGCCAUACUGGAACUGAGACACGGUCCAGACUCCUACGGGAGGCAGCAGUGGGGAAUAUUGGACAAUGGGCGCAAGCCUGAUCCAGCCAUACCGCGUGGGUGAAGAAGGCCUUCGGGUUGUAAAGCCCUUUUGUUGGGAAAGAAAAGCAGCAGGUUAAUACCCCGCUGUUCUGACGGUACCCAAAGAAUAAGCACCGGCUAACUUCGUG